AGGAAGGGAAUGGAAGCAUGAGGGAAAGAAUGACUCAAGGUCCUGGGACUGUACUAAUGUAGGGGAUCUUUUAUCUCGAUCAGCCUCAUCAAGCAAAGAAGGAUGCUCUGAGCAGCAAUGCUGGCUUAGAAGACACAGUGCCUGCCUCUUUGAGGCUGAAUUUUAAAGAUUUCCUGAUAGCACCUGAAUGAUCCCUGUUUCCCCUUUUACAUUCCUAGGGGGUCGGAAGGACUUCAGAUGGAGAACUGACCACACCAUAGUUCGGAUAGAAAAUGAAGAAGCCCCGUGGAGGACACGUCU
Non-coding RNA from Callorhinus ursinus (northern fur seal), 300 nucleotides. Lineage: Eukaryota; Metazoa; Chordata; Mammalia; Carnivora; Otariidae. The record is from RefSeq and is a predicted model, not a curated record.